Corythoichthys intestinalis (scribbled pipefish) is the source of this 5781-nucleotide RNA transcript. It is a transcript of the gene named RNA binding protein fox-1 homolog 2-like, with no coding region annotated. The transcript is spliced from 11 exons. NCBI's taxonomy places the organism in Eukaryota, Metazoa, Chordata, Actinopteri, Syngnathiformes, Syngnathidae. The record is from RefSeq and is a predicted model, not a curated record.
UGAAAAAGAGGAAAAUUAGGAAAAAAUCCAGGAGUUGGGAUGUAAAAACACGAACAAGCAAGUAGGGCGUGAAUGGCUAACAUAGUAUGAAUAUGCCCGUCCGUUUGGACCAUUAGGUUCGACCUCCUCCGCCCCUCGCAAAAGUGUUUGGAGGCACUGCGGCACAUUGCGCACACUUGCGGGCUGCGUGGCUCUGCGUUCAAAGGGAAAGCGGAAGACUGGAGGAGGGGAAAGAGUCGCGAAGAGGGAGGGGAGGUCGGUUUCCGUUCCCCCGAGCACACGCCGCCAGAACAUACCGGGAGAGAAAGAGCACACUCUUGGCUGAGGCAAGAACACAACCGCGAAGGAAAAACAACCGCGGCCGCCGUCAGCCUUUCUUCCGUGUGUGGGACACACUUGCGGACUAUUAUGGGGACAAGAGAGCGCUCCUGACCGGGCUCGACUUGCCGUUCGUGUACCUCCGCUCUUGUGGUUGAAGUCUGCGAGGAAACAUAGGCGACAUGUUGAGGAGCUUUCUCGUCUUGAGGUUACGUUAGGAUGUUCCGUCUCGAAAACGAAAGGCCUAUAUUAUAAAACGAAGAGAAAAAAAGAGGCAUAUUCCUCAUGGACAUUUUGGCGGUAGGCAGCCAUUUGUUGUGAUCGCUGAUUUUAUUUGGUUUGUUACUGUAUUGUCAGAAACGGUAUAGGCCUCUUUUGAAGGCAGCGCCACCGCAAAUAUUGGGCGCUAUAUUUAAAAAUAUUUACCUUGGACACGUUUAUUAUUUAGUCCCUUUAGUGUUUCAAGAUAGUAAUACGUUUGUUGAACUACUUAAUUUUACCCUUACUGACUAGCACAAAGUGCGAAAACAACAGAGGGCCCCUCUGAUCAGUUUAAUAAGGGAGAGAAAAAAAAAGAAACAUUUUUUAAAUGUUAAUGUCGACCGACGUUGCAUCUAUCAUGCUGCCCGUGUCCCGUGGACUCAUGGAGCGGGAUAGAGACCUCGAAGCCCUGGCCGGAGUGCAUCCCAACGCAGGCGGCGCUCCCGCUGCUCUCCGCGGAAUGAAGCGAGGAGACCCAGAGCCCGAUGGACAGACAGCGGCCUCGUUGAUCGACUCGUCUGGGGCUGAGUGCAAGCGUCCCCGAAUGGAUGGCUCCGGAGGGAUUGGCGAGGUUGGACAGAAUAAUGAUCCACUGACCCUCGGUUACCAUGGCUACCCAUCUCAUAGUCAGGGUUCCCAGGAUACUACUUCUGGUCAGGAGGGACUCGUACCUCAGGCUUUCGCAGCUUUCCCUCCUCCUCCUCCACCUCCUCCCCAGAACGGUCUUGCCCUGGAUUACGGUGGCAGCCUGUAUGCGGCGGGUGCGGUGCAGGGCCCCGUGGAAACCGGCGGAGCAGUGAACAGUGUAGUCAACGUUGUCAACAGCCUUAGUGGCCAAUCAGAUGGCUCCUCUCAGAUUGAUGGCCAGUCGGGCUCAGGAGGAGGAGGUAGCGGUGGCGGGGGGAGCAUCGGAGAUGAUUCAGAUGCCAAAGGGACACCCAAACGCCUCCACGUGUCCAACAUUCCCUUCCGCUUCCGAGACCCUGACCUGCGGCAGAUGUUUGGGCAAUAUGGCAAGAUUCUUGAUGUUGAGAUCAUCUUCAACGAGAGAGGAUCCAAGGGCUUUGGUUUCGUAACAUUCGAGACGAGUGCAGAUGCGGAGAGGGCCCGAGAGAAGCUUCAUGGUACACUGGUGGAAGGACGUAAGAUUGAGGUCAACAAUGCUACAGCCAGAGUGAUGACCAACAAGAAGUUGACAACCCCGUACUCCAAUGGAGAGGGUCUUGCAGCUCUGCCAUAUGCUGGCUGGAAGUUAAGUCCUGUGAUGGGAGCCAUGUACAGUCCUGAGCUCUACACAGUGCCAGGGUUUCCUUACCCAGCAGCAGCGGCGGCGGCUGCCUCCACGGCUGCGGCGACUUUCCGCGGUGCUCAUCUGCGUGGUCGUGCGCGGCCCGUUUACAGUGCGGUCAGAGCGGCUGUACCACAGCCUGCCAUCCCCACCUACCCUGGUGUGAUGGCCUAUCAGGAUGGUUUUUACGGUGCUGCUGAUCUUUAUGUAAGUAUAAGGUUGGAGCCACCCAGUCCCUCCCCUUUUCUUCCCUAUAUUUCGACCCCUCUUGCCUGUGGGUUUUUAAGUGUGACAAUAGCACAGACCAGACCCACUAAGACAUGUACUCUUGAGUGUUUUCAGCAUCACUGUAUUCCUCAUUCUAUAAAAAUCAAUAUUAAAUCCAGACAAAUUGCACGUAAUGUACUGAUGCUCGCUUAUACAUUCACGAGUUCUUCUCUUGUAGGGUUUGCCUCUGGGCUUUUGUGAGUUGUGUACCAUUACAGUUAUCAGCGUGUAAUGGUGCGUGCGUGUGCGUGAACAGGUUGACAAGAGUUGUUUCUGUUCUCUCUGUAGACUAGUGUUUCAGGACAUUAGUGGCAGAUUGCCUCAGGUAGGGUUGACACUCACCAUGUGAGAGCCAGUGUGCAUCCUCCUCGUUUCCAAUGACUGCGUGCUGCUAGACAUUUUUUUGACCGUCUGAGAUUGAGAUGCCUUCUCUGUCCUCUUCUACUAACUCACUGAAUUCUGACAAGGGUGGAGUUGCGGAAGGGGGAGAAAAUAUUUUGCAUCAGGGAAAAAGCGGCUAUUUGUGUAAAAGCUCAACAGGAACUGAUCACAGAUGUCCACUAUUUAGGGAAAUCCAGCUAUUUGUCCCGUCAAAAAGUGUUUUGUUUACAGCUUUUGCGCUCAGCAUUUGCCACAUCAAGGCAAGUUGAAAAGAAUUUGGCCAGGUAAAUAUUUUCUAUAUUCGCCAGUCAUCUCCCUGGUGAAGGGCAACUAUGGAUGAUAAAAAGUGGCGUCGCAAGCUCUGGCUUUGAUGAAGAUUUAUCUCAUGAUCUCUAUUUUGCUCCCCGCCAAAAAAAGACUUUUAUAUGUUGAAAUUAUUCCUAGGUUAAGGUAUUGCUUUGAAUUAAGGAAACAACAAAACAUCUGGUACUGCCGUGAACUCCUUUGGGUUUAAUUCUACUUUUUUUUUUUUUUUCCAUUCCAUGCUGAGAUCCCUGACUUUCGCUGAAAUUAAAGUUAUUGAAGUAUUAUUUUUGUUCAUGUAUUUAUAUACCUGGCCUUGAUUUGAAUUGAUGAGCAAAUAACAUCUCCAACAAAUAUUGUGUUUUAAAUCUUCUAUUAAAAGAGAAGGGAAAUUAAAGGUUGCAGUUUGUACAAUCAGGAAAUUAGCAGCCGCCAUAUCCAAACAAAAAGCUUUUUCCGUUGAAAAUUCUUGUGAAAAAAAUGCUUAAAUCCCUGAAUUCUUUAUAGAUAUGGAUGUAAAACAGUAUAUAUUCUUGUUUAAAAGCAAAAAAAAAAAAAAAAUGUGCAGGUAGCAUUUAUUUUACGUAAAUAUUGCGAACUAUGAGGCUAGUCAGUAAGAAAAUAACGGCCGCCAUAUGUAAACAAAGAGCUUUUUCUGUUGAAAAUUCUUGUGAAAAAAUGCUUAAAUCCCUGAAUUCUUUAUAGAUAUGGACAUAAAACAGUCUAUUCUUGGUUAAAAGCACACACACACAAAAAAACGUGCAGGUAGCAUUUAUUUUAUUUUAUUAUUUAUUUUAUCAAUUUAAAUAUUGCGAAGUAUAAUGCCAAAGCUGUAGUGGCUAAUUUCUCCCAUUGAUUUUUUCACAACGUUUGAAAAUGCAUGCAUGGUACGAAAAAUAUAAUAAUUACCUUGUAUCCUUGAACAAAUCACUCCUGAGACAGUCCUUCCUGUUUGUAUGCAUUACAGCUUUUGUACUUUUUAAACCGAAAUCCGGCGUUGGAGCGCUGCAUGUGACCGACUGCUAAUAAAUGAAACAGAGUGUUGGACGGCCCCCUUCGGGAAGGCGUGACGAAGUGAAUGGGGAAUGUGUCAUGUCAAUACAUUAAGAAGUCUAUGGUUAAGCAAACCAAAUGCAGCCAUUUUUGUGUUAUAUCAUGAAACCUCUGUGAUGAAUUUAGUAGCUUUGCUAUUCCACAUCCAUUUUAUUUUCGUGCUCUUUUAAACACCCAACUGUAUGAAGACUGAGUCGCUCCAACAUUUCGCUGAGCAUUAAUAGUCUGCCGACUGCAACCAACAGGUAUGGCAAAAGUCCUCUGGUUUUUUUUUCCAAUUGCAAUGAAAUAUGCAGAUGCCAUCGGUUAGACUCUUAUUGUAAGAAUACUUGAGUAAAAAUUUACUCGUGAAGUCGAAGCAAAGAACAGAAGUGCAGUGAUGACCUAAAACAUCAACAGAUUGAGGUGCACUCUGUAAUUAUCCAGGUGAUCAGUUGAUUCAGACCCCUUCCAGGAGUCUCCCUGUGUGUUUCACUUUGUGGCAUGCUAACUAUAAUCAGUGUCAGCAUGCACACGUACUGUACUUAUGAAGCUGACCCACCCCAAGCCUUAGGCUCCGUCACCCUCACAUGUAAUUUUUCUUUUUGAAACUUCUCAAGUCUAUCGUUUACUCAUUAUUUCUCAGUUAACCUCUUCCUGUAUCACAUUUUUCCCAACCCCCUCCCCUCUCCUCCAUGGGUCCAGUCCAAAAUCUUUGCGACGCAAACGUGUGUGCUCCUGAAUGCGGGGACUUGGCCGUAAAUGGUCUUUAGGCUAGAAUGCAGCAGUCUGUGUUGAUGGAGGGAUGUUUGACCUAAUAAUGUUCAUAUCGCAGUCUGGGGCAAGAAGCAUGCUGUCUGUGAUUGGUCGCUUGGCCACUUGAGGUUGUUUUAUGUAUGCGUGUGAUCGAGAAAUGCACAACUGUAGUGUUUUUGUGUGUUUGUAGUGUACAAAUGACCCCUUUCCAUCUGUUUGCUUUUCUUUAACUGUAUUUUGGUAGGGCCACAUAUCCAGAGCUUUUCUCCCUCUAUGCCCAACCUAAAGGGGGGAAUGGGCAUUGUGCACAAUGAGUUUAGUUUUUCUAUAUUUUUUGAGGGAGGUUAGUCAUGGAGGGAGCAAGCCACAUAGAGCCUGAGACUUCAGCCAUGUCUACACCUAACAGGGUUUUGUUUGUUUUUUUAAACUGAAGAUCCUGCCCUAAUAUGUCGGGAAAACAAUAAUUACGUCCACACCAGCACGUUUGUAGAAAGAAAAAAAAGCUUCCCCAGCCAACCGCAUUCAUUCAUUUUUAAGGAUGAGCGAAAAAUAAUUGUCCUCCAUCUUCGCAUGUCUUCUUCUAUAUGAAGCGCUGCAAGAGUUUGUAAAUAAAUGAAAGUAAAAAAGCACCUUACUCAAAAUGUGAACAAUGGUCUCAUGUGUGACAUAGGGACAAAGUUUGUUGCAGUCAGUGACGUUUCCCCUGUCAAAUCUUUGGUUAUGUGCCCACAUGAUGGCGCUACAAACGCAGAAUUUGCAAAUCUUCUCUUUAGACGGUGUUUUUAAAACCCCUGUUUAAAUUUGAUACCCUGCUACGUGUAGACAUGGCCUUCUUGUGAAUGCUGCACCAUGUUAGUCUUUUGCCAGCUGUCUGCUCGUUAAUCUUUCACUUUCUUCACGCUGUAACCCCGUAGUUCACUUGUUACUUUUACACAUCUUACUGUGUAAAAUUUUAACAAGUUUCUUUGUGUACCACAUACCCGACCCUCGUCUUCCUUCUCUUUUUGCGUCAUCACAGGGAGGCUACGCUACGUACCGUUAUGCCCAGCCGACCGCCGUAGCGACACCUGCAGCCGCAGCAGCGGCAGCAGCAGCAGCUUACAGUGACAGCUAUGGACGAGUCUACACAGCUGACCCCUACCAUGCUGCACUUGCUCCCGCUGCCUACGGUGUUG